AUGGUUCCCUGCGCAGGCUCACUACCGAGGCCGAUCGAAAAGGGUUAUGGCAUAGGUUAGUGGCUUCCAUAGCACUUGGGAGGAGCGCUUGCCUACCAUCUCCUCAAGUAGGAGAGUGGACGCUCAAGUAGGAGAGUGGACGUUGUAAUUUAUGGAAGAGGGGUACAUGUUCGUGCGGCCCCUAC
Molecule: small nuclear RNA, 185 nt
Filed under: Sorghum bicolor (sorghum)
Lineage: Eukaryota; Viridiplantae; Streptophyta; Magnoliopsida; Poales; Poaceae
Description: snRNA U1
Rfam family: U1 spliceosomal RNA
About the family: U1 is a small nuclear RNA (snRNA) component of the spliceosome (involved in pre-mRNA splicing). Its 5' end forms complementary base pairs with the 5' splice junction, thus defining the 5' donor site of an intron.
Source: RNAcentral